UACAGAGGAGCCAAGCGUUGUCCGGAUUGACUGGGCGUAAAGCGCACGCAGGCGGCUGCGCGCGUGGGGUGUGAAAUCUGGCCGCUUAACGGCCAGGCGCCAUCCCAUACGGCGCGUCUGGAGUGAUGCAGAGGUCGGUGGAAUUGCCGGUGUAGUGGUGAAAUGCGUAGAGAUCGGCAGGAACACCCAGGGGGAAGCCAGCCGACUGGGCAUCUACUGACGCUGAGGUGCGAGAGCGUGGGGAGCGAACCGG
This 253-nucleotide ribosomal RNA is filed under the name uncultured bacterium. Its description in RNAcentral is "partial 16S ribosomal RNA". It matches the Rfam family "Bacterial small subunit ribosomal RNA", at positions 524 to 776 of the family's 1533-position model. The record is from RNAcentral.